GACGAACGCUGGCGGCGUGCUUAACACAUGCAAGUCGAACGGAAAGGCCUGCUUUCCCUUGUGGAUUGCGGGUACUCGAGUGGCGAACGGGUGAGUAACACGUGAGUGAUCUGCCCCCAACUUGGGUAUAAGCCUGGGAAACUGGGUCUAAUUCCCGAUAGGACUGCAGGGUGGUGCCUGUGGUGGAACACGAUUUUCUAGUGGUUGGGGAUGAGCUCGCGGCCUAUCAGCUUGUUGGUGGGGUAAUGGCCUACCAAGGCGGCGACGGGUAGCCAGCCUGAGAGGGUGGACGGCCACAUUGGGACUGAGAUACGGCCCAGACGCCUACGGGAGGCAGCAGUGGGGAAUAUUGCACAAUGGGCGGAAGCCUGAUGCAGCGACGCCGCGUGGGGGAUGACGGCCUUCGGGUUGUAAACUCCUUUCGACCGCGAGGAAGCCACCUGGUUGGAAGGGUGGUGACGGUAGUGGUAGAAGAAGCACCGGCUAACUACGUG
RNAcentral lists this ribosomal RNA (494 nucleotides) under uncultured bacterium. RNAcentral describes it as "partial 16S ribosomal RNA". It matches the Rfam family "Bacterial small subunit ribosomal RNA", at positions 28 to 507 of the family's 1533-position model. The record is from RNAcentral.